ACCCUUUAAUGUUUGAUGUUCUAACGUGGACCCGUGAUCCGGGUUGCGGACAGUGUCUGGUGGGUAGUUUGACUGGGGCGGUCUCCUCCUAAAGAGUAACGGAGGAGCACGAAGGUUGGCUAAUCCUGGUCGGACAUCAGGAGGUUAGUGCAAUGGCAUAAGCCAGCUUGACUGCGAGCGUGACGGCGCGAGCAGGUGCGAAAGCAGGUCAUAGUGAUCCGGUGGUUCUGAAUGGAAGGGCCAUCGCUCAACGGAUAAAAGGUACUCCGGGGAUAACAGGCUGAUACCGCCCAAGAGUUCAUAUCGACGGCGGUGUUUGGCACCUCGAUGUCGGCUCAUCACAUCCUGGGGCUGAAGUAGGUCCCAAGGGUAUGGCUGUUCGCCAUUUAAAGUGGUACGCGAGCUGGGUUUAGAACGUCGUGAGACAGUUCGGUCCCUAUCUGCCGUGGGCGCUGGAGAACUGAGGGGGGCUGCUCCUAGUACGAGAGGACCGGAGUGGACGCAUCACUGGUGUUCGGGUUGUCAUGCCAAUGGCACUGCCCGGUAGCUAAAUGCGGAAGAGAUAAGUGCUGAAAGCAUCUAAGCACGAAACUUGCCCCGAGAUGAGUUCUCCCUGAGACUUAAAGUCU
Molecule: ribosomal RNA, 629 nt
Filed under: Salmonella enterica
Lineage: Bacteria; Pseudomonadati; Pseudomonadota; Gammaproteobacteria; Enterobacterales; Enterobacteriaceae
Also listed under: 2 other names
Description: partial 23S ribosomal RNA
Rfam family: Bacterial large subunit ribosomal RNA
Source: RNAcentral